This 72-nucleotide transfer RNA is filed under the name Heterocephalus glaber (naked mole-rat). It matches the Rfam family "tRNA". Rfam says of the family: Transfer RNA (tRNA) molecules are approximately 80 nucleotides in length. Lineage: Eukaryota; Metazoa; Chordata; Mammalia; Rodentia; Bathyergidae. The record is from Rfam by way of RNAcentral.
UGGGGUGUAGCUCAGUGGCAGGGCACUUGCCUAGCAUGCAAAAGGCCCUGGGUUCAAUUGUCAGCACUGCAA